AGCGAACGCUGGCGGCAGGCCUAACACAUGCAAGUCGAACGGACUCUUCGGAGUUAGUGGCGGACGGGUGAGUAACACGUGGGAACGUGCCUUUAGGCUCGGAAUAGCUCCUGGAAACGGGUGGUAAUGCCGAAUGUGCCCUUCGGGGAAAGAUUUAUCGCCUUUAGAGCGGCCCGCGUCUGAUUAGCUAGUUGGUGAGG
This 200-nucleotide ribosomal RNA is filed under the name uncultured bacterium. RNAcentral's name for it is "partial 16S ribosomal RNA". It matches the Rfam family "Bacterial small subunit ribosomal RNA", at positions 29 to 257 of the family's 1533-position model. The record is from RNAcentral.